Molecule: transfer RNA, 81 nt
Filed under: Uncinocarpus reesii 1704
Lineage: Eukaryota; Fungi; Ascomycota; Eurotiomycetes; Onygenales; Onygenaceae
Description: tRNA-Ser (AGA) (tRNA-Ser-AGA-2-1, tRNA-Ser-AGA-2-2)
Rfam family: tRNA
About the family: Transfer RNA (tRNA) molecules are approximately 80 nucleotides in length.
Source: RNAcentral
GGCACUGUGGCGGAGUGGUUAUCGCGUCAGCCUAGAAAGCUGAUCCCUUCGGGGGCCUGUGUUCGAAUCACAGCGGUGUCG